GAUGAAGAACGUAGCGAAAUGCGAUAAGUAGUGUGAAUUGCAGAAUUCAGUGAAUCAUCGAAUCUUUGAACGCACAUUGCGCCCUUUGGUAUUCCAAAGGGCAUGCCUGUUCGAGCGUCAUUUGUACCCUCAAGCUUUGCUUGGUGUUGGGCGUCUUGUCUCUAGCUUUGCUGGAGACUCGCCUUAAAGUAAUUGGCAGCCGGUCUACUGGUUUCGGAGCGCAGCACAAGUCGCACUCUCUAUCAGCAAAGGUCUAGCAUCCAUUAAGCCUUUUUUUCAACUUUUGACCUCGGAUCAGGUAGGGAUACCCGCUGAACUUAAGCAUAUCAAUAAGCGGAGGA
Molecule: unclassified non-coding RNA, 341 nt
Filed under: soil metagenome
Description: partial contains 5.8S ribosomal RNA, internal transcribed spacer 2, and large subunit ribosomal RNA
Rfam family: 5.8S ribosomal RNA (bases 1-120)
Source: RNAcentral